RNAcentral lists this ribosomal RNA (357 nucleotides) under Pseudocalanus newmani. RNAcentral's name for it is "partial 28S ribosomal RNA". Lineage: Eukaryota; Metazoa; Arthropoda; Copepoda; Calanoida; Clausocalanidae. The record is from RNAcentral.
UGAGAGUUCAAGAGUACGUGAAACUGUGUGGUGGUAAACGGAGGGGUUCUCGAAGUUUCUGCGUGGAACUCAACCUUGGUGUCGGGCGGUCCUGGUGUAUCUGAUCAGCAAUGACUGUGCGCUUGGUUCGGCUUGGCUCCCGGGUGCAUUUUCCAAGCAGUUUACGGCAGGAACCGUUUGGCUCGGACCAAAGGCCUCGGGCGAAGUUGUAGGUAUUUUGCUUGCAGCCCCGGGUGUCCUGGCUCUGCGCUCGACGGGUACGUGAGAGGACUCGUAUAGCGAGCAACGCUCUGUUGCGGUUCUCAUCUCUCUGCCGAGUAGGUCGGCGGCCCCUCCGACCCGUCUUGAAACACGGAA